Molecule: ribosomal RNA, 327 nt
Filed under: uncultured eukaryote
Lineage: Eukaryota
Description: partial 18S ribosomal RNA
Rfam family: Eukaryotic small subunit ribosomal RNA
Source: RNAcentral
CCCUUAGAUGUUCUGGGCUGCACGCGCGCUACACUGAAGCGUUCAACGAGUAUUCACCUUGCCCGGGAGGGUUGGGUAAUCUUUUGAAAACGCUUCGUGAUGGGGAUAGAUUAUUGCAAUUAUUAAUCUUCAACGAGGAAUUCCUAGUAGGCGCAAGUCAUCAGCUUGCGUCGAUUACGUCCCUGCCCUUUGUACACACCGCCCGUCGCUCCUACCGAUUGGGUGUGCUGGUGAAAUGUUCGGAUCGGCCGUUUGUCGCGGUUUCCGCGUCAUGUGGCUGAGAAGUUCAUUAAACCCUCCCACCUAGAGGAAGGAGAAGUCGUAACA